Molecule: ribosomal RNA, 2467 nt
Filed under: Triticum aestivum (bread wheat)
Lineage: Eukaryota; Viridiplantae; Streptophyta; Magnoliopsida; Poales; Poaceae
Description: partial small subunit ribosomal RNA
Source: RNAcentral
CAAGAACCGAGGAGGUUGGCCUUCUCCACUUCUCCUCCCCUCCACUUUUCUCACUCUUGCGCUUCCAUCCUCACCGGGGCUACAAAUACGUUCCCCUUGCGGGUGUGGCGACUGCGUGGUCGAGACGGCGUCCGUAGAACCCUAAACAAUCUUUCCCAAUCUUUUCCACCUGCUCCGGGUCCUCCUUCUACUGCCGGCCUCCCCACGCCGGUGUUCAGACCCGUCCCUUCUGUCGUUCCUCCGCUCCGGGUCCUCCUCGAGGCGGCAGCAUCGGACGCAACAGACGCGGCGGACGCGACUCGCGGCCCCGGUUUGUGCGGGAUCCAUCAAGGUGGCCUCGGGAAGGAGCAGGUCGCCGGUAUCCCCACGCCUCCUCGCGGCCGCCAUGGCAGGCAAGCAAUCACCUCGCAGCCGAUUUAUUCUCUGCGCACGCCAUGCCUCCCCUGCGGUUUCUCCUCGCGCUGACGGCCUGGGACGCACGCACCGGAUGAGACCCUCCCUGCCGCGGAGGAGAAGCUCGCCGGCCUCCCCCUGCCUCCUUGACGUAGAUAUCAAUGCUCGCAAGCCCAGCUUCAAGAAGACGGUGUGCCAUGUUAAGGUUCCAAAUGUUCUAAACCUCUGCAUAUUCAGGUUCGAUUCAGAAUUUGAGAAGCAGGUGCUUACGGUGUCACGCAGUACAGUGAAAAAGGCGUUCAAAUAUACUUAACAGGUCCAUCAUUUCAGCUUCCGGUUCAUUCAUCUAUCUAAAUUGUGAGGAGGAGCUAUCAAGGCUAGGGAUGUGUAUACAUCACUCCUAGCCACCGGAAGAAGUGGCCAGUUUUCCCCGUACACCUAAUUGUCUACAAUUUUGAUUGAUUUAUUAUUUUUGCAAGAAUUUGAAACUGCAGGACGCCGGAGGCAUCCAAUAGUUGUGAUUUCCUGUUUGCUUUUGUCAAAUAUCUUCAGAAUUGUAAAAGUCACUCGCCUUAUUAAUCUUUUCGUCUCCACAGAGGUUAUGUUUGUGAGCACGUUUAAUCCCAGUCUUCUAUUUAUUAGGUCGCUACUUAUUGGUCCAUGUUUUACUAAUCGAUUCAGAUACAUUCCACUUUUGCUUGAAUUUAUACUGUGAGAAGCUGUGUUUUGAUUUUCGGUUUGAGCUUUUUUUCGCCCUAGGCCGAGAUGGCCGAAUUUCGGCCAUUUUCAAAAUUUUCGGCUGAAAUUUGAUUAAAUUUUGACUGCGAUUUGACUUAAAUUUGACCAAAAUUUACCAAAUUUGAGCAAUUUCGGUCUAAAUAUAUUUUUCGCCCCAGGCCGAGAUGGCCGAAAUUCGGCCGAAAUCCACUUUUUUCGGCCGAAAAUCAAAACACAGGUGAGAAGUAAUGAAGCCAAACAGGUUGUUAUUCUUAAUCAACGGGAAUUGAAGAUCUACUCCCAUAAUUCAAAGGGAAAAAAUAGAAUAAGCCUUUCUUAGUAUCAUGGCAGUGUUCCAUACUUUGAUACUCUAAUACACUAUAGUGCAAUUCACAGAAAUCCUAUUCACACUGAGGCAUUGGUCAUACAAUAGGAUCAGACGUUGAUAUCUAUACUUUGGCCAUAUACAUCGACAAGACCCAGUCUACUACCCGUGGAGAAACUGUUCUCUUUUGUUACAUUGUUCACCUUGGAAUUUAUAGUGCUGAUUUGCAGUUAUAUAAAAAAAUUAUGCCAUUUUUAAUGCCAGCAAAGAGUUCCCGCAGCAACGCGCGGGGUAUCAUCUAGUUUUAUUAAAGUUGUACUGAAGCCAACACCAUGUAGUACAAAGUCCCGUUGUGCUGGAUAAUCCAUGAAAUUUGGAGGAAAUUUCAAACACAUUGACUGAAAUUACAUGCAAAGAAUAGAUCGGUGUGCCCAGUCUUCAUGGACCAUCAAAGUACAGAGUACACAAGUAUCAUCUUCAACAUGCCAAUGUCGAUCUUGCAUCGUAUGCCUAGUAUUCAGAUGAUCAACCAAUAAGAGUCAUCGAAAUACCUUAAUUUUCAAUGUGCAUGCACAUCUCCAAAUCCAUUUAAAAAUAGGAUCAAGCACAAUAUGAUCAAAGGCCAGUUUAUAGUUAAAAAACUACAGUAUUCACCAGAUGGUGUGAGCCAUCGCCAAACAUCAUGAGUCUUAGAGCUAAGAUUUACAUCAGUCAGGAGAGCAGCCAAUUGUUGACUCCACAUAAGCCUGUGUAGAUAACGACAGAUGGAAAAUUCUAGAGAGUUCUUCCGAAUCCAUAACCUCUUUGACAGGCAUUUUAACAUCAAUGACAUAGGAGAAGAGCCUUACAAAACGUUCCCCGGGAGGUAAAUCUGAAUCACCAAGCUGCUAGUGGUUUGACUAGAAGAUAACAAAGUUGCCUGAAUGCACGUGAAUUUUGACCUUUGACAUUUCUCCACUAGUUUGAAAAAACCCUUCCACCAAAAAGCAUUGUACCAUGUGGAACCACAUUACGAUAAUAAGAUUCCCAUAC